RNAcentral lists this ribosomal RNA (934 nucleotides) under uncultured bacterium. Its description in RNAcentral is "bacterial SSU rRNA". It matches the Rfam family "Bacterial small subunit ribosomal RNA", at positions 418 to 1387 of the family's 1533-position model. The record is from RNAcentral.
AGGGUUUGAAAAAAUUUUUUUUGCCCGGGGAAGGAAAAGGACAAGAGCAGGUAAAGAAAACCCCCGGUAAACUCCGUGCCACCAGCCGCGGUAAUACGAGGGGGGUUAGCGUUGUUGGAAUUACUGGGCGUAAAGCGCACGUAGGCGGAUUAGAAAGUUAGAGGUGAAAUCCCGCGGGUUCAACCCCGGAACUGCCUUUAAAACUACUAGUCUAGAGUUCGAGAGAGGUGAGUGGAAUUCCGAGUGUAGAGGUGAAAUUCGUAGAUAUUCGGAGGAACACCAGUGGCGAAGGCGGCUCACUGGCUCGAUACUGACGCUGAGGUGCGAAAGUGUGGGGAGCAAACAGGAUUAGAUACCCUGGUAGUCCACACCGUAAACGAUGAAUGCCAGUCGUCGGAUAGUAUACUAUUCGGUGACACACCUAACGGAUUAAGCAUUCCGCCUGGGGAGUACGGUCGCAAGAUUAAAACUCAAAGGAAUUGACGGGGGCCCGCACAAGCGGUGGAGCAUGUGGUUUAAUUCGAAGCAACGCGCAGAACCUUACCAACCCUUGACAUCCUGUGCUACAUUCAGAGAUGAAUGGUUCCCUUCGGGGACGCAGUGACAGGUGCUGCAUGGCUGUCGUCAGCUCGUGCCGUGAGAUGUUCGGUUAAGUCCGGCAACGAGCGCAACCCACAUCCCUAGUUGCCAGCAGUUCGGCUGGGCACUCUAUGGAAACUGCCCGUGAUAAGCGGGAGGAAGGUGUGGAUGACGUCAAGUCCUCAUGGCCCUUACGGGUUGGGCUACACACGUGCUACAAUGGCAUCUACAGUGGGUUAAUCCCCAAAAGAUGUCUCAGUUCGGAUUGUCGUCUGCAACUCGACGGCAUGAAGUCGGAAUCGCUAGUAAUCGCGUAACAGCAUGACGCGGUGAAUACGUUCCCGGGCCUUGUAGA